AAGCCCUGGGCUCAACCUAGGAAUAGCAUUUCGAACUGACAAACUAGAGUCUUGUAGAGGGGGGUAGAAUUCNNGGNGUAGCGGUGAAAUGCGUAGAGAUCUGGAGGAAUACCGGUGGCGAAGGNGGCCCCCUGGACAAAGACUGACGCUCAUGCACGAANGCGUGGGGAGCAAACAGGAUUAGAUACCCUGGUAGUCCACGCCGUAAACGAUGUCUACUCGGAGUUUGGUGUCUUGAACACUGGGCUCUCAAGCUAACGCAUUAAGUAGACCGCCUGGGGAGUACGGCCGCAAGGUUAAAACUCAAAUGGAUUGACGGGGGCCCGCANAAGCGGUGGAGCAUGUGGUUUAAUUCGAUGCAACGCGAAGAACCUUACCUACUCUUGACAUCCACGGAAUUCGCUAGAGAUAGCUUAGUGCCUUCGGGAACCGUGAGACAGGUGCUGCAUGGCUGUCGUCAGCUCGUGUUGUGAAAUGUUGGGUUAANUCCCGCAACGAGCGCAACCCCUAUCCUUAUUUGCCAGCACGUAAUGGUGGGAACUCUAGGGAGACUGCCGGUGAUAAACCGGAGGAAGGUGGGGACGACGUCNAGUCAUCAUGGCCCUUACNANUAGGGCUACACACGUGCUACAAUGGGCNAGUACAGAGGGUUGCAAAGCCUCGAGGNGGAGCUNAUCUCACAAAGCUCGUCGUANUCCCGGAUUGGANUCUGCAACUCNACUCCCNUGAA
RNAcentral lists this ribosomal RNA (730 nucleotides) under uncultured Shewanella sp. RNAcentral's name for it is "partial 16S ribosomal RNA". It matches the Rfam family "Bacterial small subunit ribosomal RNA", at positions 598 to 1324 of the family's 1533-position model. Lineage: Bacteria; Pseudomonadati; Pseudomonadota; Gammaproteobacteria; Alteromonadales; Shewanellaceae. The record is from RNAcentral.